Molecule: unclassified non-coding RNA, 1352 nt
Filed under: uncultured fungus
Lineage: Eukaryota; Fungi
Description: sequence contains 18S rRNA gene, ITS1, 5.8S rRNA gene, ITS2, 28S rRNA gene
Rfam family: Eukaryotic large subunit ribosomal RNA (bases 406-1352)
Source: RNAcentral
GGAAGGAUCAUUAUCGAGAUGUCGUGAGGGUUUACCUUGCGCACUCCCCCCCCCCCCUCCUACCUUGUGAACGCGAACCUGUGGCCAUUGGGGCCGCGCUUUAAAGCAAAACUUUCAACAACGGAUCUCUUGGCUCCGGCGUCGAUGAAGAACGCAGCGAAUUGCGAUACGUGGUGUGAAUUGCAGACUUAGUGAAUCAUCGAGUUUUUGAACGCACAUUGCGCCCUAUGGUAUUCCGUAGGGCACGCCUGUUCGAGCGUCGUCAGAAUAUUCGGGUUUACCCGGUUAUGGGGGAUGUCCUCCCUUAGUGGGACACCUCUUAAAUUAUUCGGCAUCCCGGCCUGCUCCACGACGUGGCAUUGUUUUCGUCUUGGACUGGUCUGGUGCCGCCAAAUCUUUGAAUUUCGACCUCGGAUCAGGCGGGGAUACCCGCUGAACUUAAGCAUAUCAAUAAGCGGAGGAAAAGAAACCAACCGGGAUCGCCCCAGUAACGGCGAGCGAAGCGGCGACAGCUCAGAUUUGAAAUCCGGACCGCCUGUGUGGCCCCGAGUUGUAAUCUGCAGAGGAGGCAUCCGCGUGAUUGUCCGUCCAAAGUCCCCUGGAAUGGGGCGCCUUGGAGGGUGAGAGCCCCGUCGGGGCGGGCAAUUCAUGGCUAUGAGGCCCCUUCGACGAGUCGAGUUGUUUGGGAAUGCAGCUCAAAGCGGGAGGUAAAUUCCUUCCAAAGCUAAACACCCGCCGGAGACCGAUAGCGAACAAGUAGAGUGAUCGAAAGAUGAAAAGUACUUUGGAAAGAGAGUCAAACAGCGCGUGAAAUUGUUGAAAGGGAAGCGCUCGCGGCCAGACUCGGCUUGCCCGCUCAAUCGGUCCUCGUGGCCGGUGUGCUCGGGCUAGUCGGGCCAGCGUCGGCUCGGGCGACUGGACAAAGGCUGGGGGAACGUAGCCCUUCGGGGCGUUACAGCCCCCGGCAGAACACAGCCCGCCCGGGCCGAGGACAGCGCGCAAUUGCUAGGACGCUGGCAUAAUGGCCUUGAGCGGCCCGUCUUGAAACACGGACCAAGGAGUCCAACGUCCGCGCAAGUGUUCGGGUGUCAAACCCGCACGCGCAAUGAAAGUGAAUGGAGGUGGGAACCUGCUUCACGGCAGGCACACCGUCGACCGAUCCAGAUGUCUUCGGACGGAUUCGAGUACGAGCGCGGCCGUUGGGACCCGAAAGGUGGUGAACUAUGCGUGGGUAGGGUGAAGCCAGAGGAAACUCUGGUGGAGGCUCGCAGCGGUUCUGACGUGCAAAUCGAUCGUCGAACCUGCGCAUAGGGGCGAAAGACUAAUCGAACCGCCUAGUAGCUGGUUCCUGC